UACGUAGGGUGCAAGCGUUAAUCGGAAUUACUGGGCGUAAAGCGUGCGCAGGCGGUUUUGUAAGUUUGUCGUGAAAGCCCCGGGCUCAACCUGGGAAUUGCGAUGGAGACUGCAAGGCUAGAAUCUGGCAGAGGGGGGUAGAAUUCCACGUGUAGCAGUGAAAUGCGUAGAGAUGUGGAGGAACACCGAUGGCGAAGGCAGCCCCCUGGGUCAAGAUUGACGCUCAUGCACCGAAAGGCGUGGGGAGCAA
RNAcentral lists this ribosomal RNA (250 nucleotides) under uncultured bacterium. RNAcentral's name for it is "partial 16S ribosomal RNA". It matches the Rfam family "Bacterial small subunit ribosomal RNA", at positions 524 to 771 of the family's 1533-position model. The record is from RNAcentral.